Molecule: ribosomal RNA, 250 nt
Filed under: uncultured prokaryote
Description: partial 16S ribosomal RNA
Rfam family: Bacterial small subunit ribosomal RNA
Source: RNAcentral
CACGUAGGGAGCAAGCGUUAUCCGGAUUUACUGGGUGUAAAGGGCGUGUAGGCGGGAAGUCAAGUCAGAUGUGAAAACUAUGGGCUCAACCCAUAGCCUGCAUUUGAAACUGAUUUUCUUGAGUACUGGAGAGGCAGGCGGAAUUCCGUGUGUAGCGGUGGAAUGCGUAGAUAUACGGAGGAACACCAGUGGCGAAGGCGGCCUGCUGGACAGCAACUGACGCUAAGGCGCGAAAGCGUGGGGAGCAAAC